RNAcentral lists this ribosomal RNA (479 nucleotides) under Phryganistria heusii yentuensis. RNAcentral describes it as "partial large subunit ribosomal RNA". It matches the Rfam family "Bacterial large subunit ribosomal RNA", at positions 1920 to 2612 of the family's 2925-position model. The record is from RNAcentral. Lineage: Eukaryota; Metazoa; Arthropoda; Insecta; Phasmatodea; Phasmatidae.
UUAUUUAAUGGCCGCAGUAUUUUGACUGUGCAAAGGUAGCAUAAUCAUUAGUCUAUUAAUUGUGGACUUGUAUGAAUGGUUGGACGAGAUAUUAUCUGUCUCUAUUUAAUUAUUAGAAUUUAAAUUUUAAGUUAAAAUGCUUAAAUUUACUUAUUGGACGAGAAGACCCUAUUGAUCUUUAUUAUAAUUGAUUUAUUUAUUUUUAGUUUAUAUUUAUAAUUAAUUUAAUUGUUGUUUUGUUGGGGUGACAAGGAGAUAUAUUUAACUCUUUAUUUUUAUUUUCAUUUAUUUAUGUUUAUUUGACCUUUUAUUAUUGUUAUAAGAUAUAGAUACCUUAGGGAUAACAGCGUAAUUUUCUUUGAGAGUUCUUAUUGACGAGAAAGAUUGCGACCUCGAUGUUGGAUUAAGAUUAUAAUCAGGUGUAGAUGCUUGAUAUUAUAGGUCUGUUCGACCUUUAAAUUCUUACAUGAUCUGAGUCA